CCAAAGGCAAAGCGUUCCUCGAGAAAAGUCUAAAAAGACGUGUAUUAACCUACGAUGUAAACUCUUCCUUUUAGGUCCACUUUCUUCUUUCUUCUUAACCUCCUGUCUAAUAUCAAUAUACAAAAAGUAGCGGCAAAUACAAAGAUCUAGACCAUAUAAACUUGUAUAAUUAUACCAAACGUUAUCCACACCCUGGUCUUAUAUACGCACCCUGU
RNAcentral lists this ribosomal RNA (215 nucleotides) under Triticum aestivum (bread wheat). RNAcentral describes it as "partial small subunit ribosomal RNA". The record is from RNAcentral. Lineage: Eukaryota; Viridiplantae; Streptophyta; Magnoliopsida; Poales; Poaceae.